CCUACGGGAGGCAGCAGUGAGGAAUAUUGGUCAAUGGACGAGAGCCUGAUCCAGCCAAGUAGCGUGAAGGAUGACUGCCCUCUGGGCUGUAAACUUCUUUUAUAAGGGAGUAAAUGGAGGCACGUGUGCCUUUAUGCAUGUACUUUAUGAAUAAGGAUCGGCUAACUCCGUGCCAGCAGCCGCGGUAAUACGGAGGGUCCGAGCGUUAUCCGGACUUAGUGGGUUUAACGGGAGCGUAGAUGGGUUGUUAAGUCAGUUGUGAAAGUUUGCGGCUUAACCGUAAAAUUGCAAUUGAUACUGGGAGUCUUGAGUACAGUUGAGGUAAGCGGAAUUCGUGGUGUAGCGGUGAAAUGCUUAGAUAUCACGAAGAACCCCGAUUGCGAAGGCAGCUUACUAAACUGUGACUGACAUUGAGGCUCGAAAGUGUGGGGAGCAAACAGGAUUAGAUACCCCUGUAGUC
Molecule: ribosomal RNA, 460 nt
Filed under: uncultured bacterium
Lineage: Bacteria
Description: partial 16S ribosomal RNA
Rfam family: Bacterial small subunit ribosomal RNA
Source: RNAcentral